This 330-nucleotide ribosomal RNA is filed under the name Cercozoa sp. RNAcentral describes it as "SSU rRNA". The stretch from base 56 to 330 matches the Rfam family "Eukaryotic small subunit ribosomal RNA", at positions 680 to 955 of the family's 1831-position model. The record is from RNAcentral. Lineage: Eukaryota; Cercozoa.
GAUUUCUGAUAUGUUUGGCCUGGCCCGCCACGGUUACGUGUGUGAGUGCCGGUGCUUGAACUAUCAUCCUUCGCAACUAUCGCACACUGCCCUUCACUGGGUGUGUUGUGUUAGAUGGUUCGAUCCUUUACUUUGAAAAAAUUAGAGUGUUUCAAGCAGGCUUUAUGCUAUGAAUACAUUAGCAUGGAAUAAUAAUUUAGGACUUCGGUUCUAUUUUGUUGGUUUCUAGGACUGAAGUAAUGAUUGAUAGGGAUAGUUGGGGGUGCUAGUAUUCAGCGGCCAGAGGUGAAAUUCUCGGAUUCGCUGAAGACUAACUUAUGCGAAAGCAUU